UGAGGUAGUAGGUUGUGUGG
RNAcentral lists this non-coding RNA (20 nucleotides) under Ovis aries (sheep). The record is from RNAcentral. RNAcentral also lists the same sequence under 2 other names. Lineage: Eukaryota; Metazoa; Chordata; Mammalia; Artiodactyla; Bovidae.